RNAcentral lists this ribosomal RNA (305 nucleotides) under uncultured bacterium. Its description in RNAcentral is "bacterial SSU rRNA". It matches the Rfam family "Bacterial small subunit ribosomal RNA", at positions 334 to 656 of the family's 1533-position model. The record is from RNAcentral.
UGGUCCUACGGGAGGCAGCAGUGAGGGAUAUUGGUCAAUGGGGGAAACCCUGAACCAGCAACGCCGCGUGAGGGAAGACGGUUUUCGGAUUGUAAACUCCUUUUGUUAGAGAAGAUAAUGACGGUAUCUAACGAAUAAGCACCGGCUAACUCCGUGCCAGCAGCCGCGGUAAUACGGAGGGUGCAAGCGUUACUCGGAAUCACUGGGCGUAAAGAGCGCGUAGGCGGGAUAGCAAGUCAGAUGUGAAAUCCUAUGGCUUAACCAUAGAACUGCAUUUGAAACUGUUAUUCUAGAGUAUGGGAGAG